GCGCGCCCCCAGUCGUGAGCGGCGCAGACACGCACACGCGCACACGAGGCACUCACAUGUGCACGUGCUGGCACUCAUACUCGUGCCCUGGGAAGACGCAAUGCGGCGAAUCGUCGCCGGCAGGUGUCUGUGCGGCUUGGGCGGCAGAGAUGGUGCGGCCGCGUCCGCAUCGUCUAGGCUCUGUUUAUUUUGCUGUGGGUUGCCGUCCCCGAGUUGCGGAUGCGGCGGCACAGAUUUUGUGUUGCCGCACGGCGGUGACGGCCGUGAGUGUGUGUGCGGCAGGCGUGGCCCCUCGCCGUCACCGCAAAAUCCGUGGAAUAGUCUGGAAGGCCUCUUGGUUGGUGUGCGCGCGACGCACCCGGCGAACGUCUUCGAGGACCGCCCCGUGGCUCUCGGACGGCUCCUGAGCAGAUUGUCGGAGACAACCUACAAGGCGGAGCUGCUCGGUAUUGGCAAGAGGGGUUGCGGCGGCGAUGAACGCCGCGGCGAUGCUGCGCAGCUGCCGACGGUGGAUGCUGGCACGCGGGUGACGGUCAGGAUGGAGGGCGAACCCGCCAGCGCAGCCGCGGUGGGGCAGCCCGCCGUGCACAUGAAGGGCACUAUCGCCAAGGUGAACGGCAAUGCUACCUGCAUUAUACUGAUGGAGAACGGCGAAGUCGAACUCUCUGUGGCACCCGAGCGCAUUGUGGAGCUGCAGUCGCGGAAGAAGCUGCUCCACAGCGCGAGGCUGGUUGCGCUGGUAAGCUGGCUGCGCUCCUGCGUGCACGACCCGCGCGACGUGGAGGCCAUCGCGCUCGUCCUGUUUAGCCGCGGCUGGCGGGCGGAGAGGAUGUACCUGCUGGAAAGCGUGGAUCUCCUGCCCUUUGUGUUUGUGUCGAGGGUCGAACUGGACAGUAUUAGCGAGAAGGCGCAGUGGGAGCGCGACCACCACAAGGCGAUGCGCAUGCUGCGCCGCGAGCGGGUGAAGGAUAAGAAUUUUCGCUAUGCCCUGGCCAAGUACAAGGGCACCAUGAGCUGCAUUGCCGGCGUGCUUGUGGUUGGUUACGUGUUCACGGCGAACCUGCGCGCGUACCGGCGGCAGCAGCGGGGCCAUCAGCUCCGCACAGCCAUCGAGACCCUCUCGAAGGCUGCCCGGCCGUCGAAGGAGGAGGGUGUGCUCGCGGCGGACGAGGAAGCGCUUGUGCGCAGUGUGCUGACGCAGAUGGCGCCGUCGCAUCCCCGCAUCGUGGCCGUCGCCGGUGGCUCUGGCGGCGGCGGGUGUGUGCCGUGUCGCCGCGCGGUACGCGUGGAUGGGGUGCCGCUGGUUCACGUCGACGUCGGCGGCACGGAGGACACCCUGCGCUGUGUUGUGAAGGCCCUGGGGGUGAGCAAUGUGGAGGUGUGCGGCGACCUGUUGGGUUUUGUGGAGGAGGCCAUGCGGGGCGCGACCGUGCAGGGCAGCGACGGCGUUCCAUUCUUGGUGAUGAGGCUGCGCGAGGGCAGCGACCUGGGCAGGGUGUACGGCGAGGUGGUGAGCCUGGUGAGCGACUGCCAGGCCUGCCAUGUGAUCCUGGAGGUGCCCGUGCAUUCUCUGACCCCCUUGAACGUGUCGUUGCGGAGGCUGGAUUUUUACUGCAUUCCACCCUUCUCCCGCCGGCAGGCGUUCGCCUACACGGAGCACGCGCUGGACGCGCUGGACCUGGUGUACUUUGUGGAGGUGGUGGGGACGCGCGGCAGCGACGUCGACGAGCUGUGCGCUGCGCUGCGCCAGCGCGGCGUGGACCCGGUCGCGUACACGAGCCUCAUGCUUGUGAGGGCGAUGCGUCGGCUGCAGGCUGCGCUGGGGCCACCCGGCUCGCCUGCGCGUGCGGCGAUCCGGCAGCUCGCCUCCAUGCCAUUCGCCGACGGCGUGCGCGAUGACGCGACUGGAGCGAUGUCGGUGCUCGGGCAGCCAGGUGUGCGGGAGAUGGUGCUGUACGAUCCGGUGCAGGACGAGUGGCGGUUCGCGCAGCAGGUGUACCACACCGCGGCGCGCUGCAUUUUGGUCUAGUGUGUGUAGACGCGACCGGUGCGUGCGAGCUGAGGGCGGUGCCUCGACUUCUGCCUGAGCGCUUGUGCGGAGAUCGAUGUGGCUGCGCUGCCUUCACCGCCGUGUGUUGAGGGGCAGCUGUUGGAGGCACCGCCCACCGCACGGCGACGUGGCUGCUGACAGCUGCGUGCGUAUGCUCUGGCGAAGGUACGCCCUGGGCAGGGAAUGCUGCCGGCCAGCUCUCGGGCACUCCUUCUCGUGGUUGCCUCGGCCUCUCCGUCCCAGGCCAGCAGGUGGGUGCGCCAGUCCCUGCGCACGAACGCGGGUACACCCGAGUCCAUCAUGCCGGGUUCCACUGACCCCACUCCCUUCGACCCCUCUCUCACGCCAUCGGAAGCGUGCCAUACAUGUGCGGUCUGUUUGCGGAUGUGGUCUCGAUGGCGCCGCUGGGGUUGAGCUGCGAUCUCGGGGGUCCACCGCGGUGAUGAGACGAAGAGGGCCCAGGAGGGAUGGUUGUGCGGCUCGGCAUGCAGGCGUUGCGAUCUUCGACUUGUUCUUGUGGGCGGCGCGAACAACGAGGGUGGGGCGAUGGUCUGGCAAAGCCGUGAUGCACAGCGAGUGUGGUGCGGGCCGCGGCUGUCUCUGUGCCCCUUGCUGGCGCGGCACUGGCUUGUUGGGGACCAGGCCCAGGGAGUCUACCGCGGAGCGGGGUGAGGACGGAGGCUGUAGUGGGGCGGUUGGAGCCUGUCUCGCAGAACGGUCGCGCAGUCGUCGCGAGGCGAUCUGCUCAAGGGGCUUUCGCGCCGGUCGCUGGCCAGCGUGACAGGGCGUGGCGGAGUGAUACCGCAGCAGGACUGCAUCCAUCCCUCGAGGCUGGCUGUAUGAUGAGCAUGACCGAGAGACAGCGGCGCGCAGGGCAGCGUCGCAAGAGCUGCUUCCAAUCGCGUCAGCUCUGGCGUGCAGAGCGCUGCGUAGGCGGCGUCGCCAGAGGGACCCGCCUUCGUGGGUGUUGUCGGCCGCAGUCGUGCAUUUUGCAGUGGCCUUGCGGGACACCUGGCAGGCGUGCGUCUGCGUGGCUGACUCCUAGGUGUUCGGCCGGACGUGGUGUGCAUGCGCCUAGCAUGGACGUGGCAGCACAGCCGGAACGCCGCUGCCUCGCUCUUGUCGUUGGGAAGCGGGCGAGGGCGUACACCUGUGCCCCGUGUCGUGGUGUGCGAGCGCGGGGACGCCAGCCCGGUGCCUCCUCUCUCUUGCUGCACCGGGAUGCUGAGACGCUGGUACGCCAGGUGCCCUGUGGGGCCUGUGGGAGUGAACUGCACGUCUUGCAGAAUGCAGACCCCUGUGCCGACGCUUCGUGACGGGCGCGGGCCAGCCAACAGCGCUGUGCGUCGCUGCGCCCACUGCAGUUGAACUGCGUCCGGCGCUGGCGGGGCCACGGGCUGUGCCCUGCAUCAGCGCUUCGCUUGCAAAAUCAGAAAACAGGAUGGGGGGCGCAUACCCGUUGAAUCGCACGCGAGCCUGUUUGGUGACAUCGCCUGCCGUCCGUGAUGCAGACAAUGGAGGCUGAAAUACCUCUGUGCGGUGUGGCUGGCAUGGUGAGGCGAGGCCCAUGAGCGCGACAGAAGGAGAAAACAGGGACACGCCGGGCGUGCUAUGACUGCGUUCGGCGCGAGGUGGCUGCACAGCACCGUACAAGUGGCGCAGGAGUGUGUCAGCGAGGGAGAGAGAGGCGAUGCCGGUGAUGAGGGGCGUGGGAGGCGAUGCAGCGCGUGCCAGAGGGGGGUAGCGAGAAAUGCCCCCCUCCCCUCUCCCCCCGUCCUCUCUCGCUUGGCCCCCUCGCCUGCGCUCCCGUGUCUCCCUCGCUGCCGUUGCGGCCCGUCUCUCGCAUCCGCCGGCCGCACCCCUGCCUAUGUGCCAGCCAAUGGCCCAUGCGCCCCCGCUGUGCACGCGCCCCAGUGCCACUUGCCUGUCUCGUCACCACUGCCUCCCCCGCCUGUCUCUCCCCGUCUAUCCGUCCCUCUCUUCCUCCCCCCUGCACACUGCUGCCCACGCCGCCCAUCCCUCCUCGGCCCCUCACAACACACCCGCACACAACAACACGCCCAACAACAACGCGUGUGCGCGCACGCCACCGCAACACAG
Molecule: unclassified non-coding RNA, 4150 nt
Filed under: Leishmania donovani
Lineage: Eukaryota; Euglenozoa; Kinetoplastea; Trypanosomatida; Trypanosomatidae
Description: gene:LdHU3.34.2690(CDS-product:tuzin-like_protein )
Source: RNAcentral